RNAcentral lists this non-coding RNA (121 nucleotides) under Fragilariopsis kerguelensis. Lineage: Eukaryota; Bacillariophyta; Bacillariophyceae; Bacillariales; Bacillariaceae. The record is from RNAcentral.
AUGAUAAUAACAAAACAGGUAAGAAAGAAGCAAACAAUAAUAGGAACCACAUCAUAUAUUUGCAGUAUCUCUUGGAUUCCUUUUCUCUCCUUUUCUUCUUCUUUUUCUUCUUUUCUCUCUC